Molecule: ribosomal RNA, 698 nt
Filed under: Pseudomonas sp. 75-p15_T3
Lineage: Bacteria; Pseudomonadati; Pseudomonadota; Gammaproteobacteria; Pseudomonadales; Pseudomonadaceae
Description: bacterial SSU rRNA
Rfam family: Bacterial small subunit ribosomal RNA
Source: RNAcentral
CUUGCUUCUCUUGAGAGCGGCGGACGGGUGAGUAAUGCCUAGGAAUCUGCCUGGUAGUGGGGGAUAACGUCCGGAAACGGACGCUAAUACCGCAUACGUCCUACGGGAGAAAGCAGGGGACCUUCGGGCCUUGCGCUAUCAGAUGAGCCUAGGUCGGAUUAGCUAGUUGGUGGGGUAAUGGCUCACCAAGGCGACGAUCCGUAACUGGUCUGAGAGGAUGAUCAGUCACACUGGAACUGAGACACGGUCCAGACUCCUACGGGAGGCAGCAGUGGGGAAUAUUGGACAAUGGGCGAAAGCCUGAUCCAGCCAUGCCGCGUGUGUGAAGAAGGUCUUCGGAUUGUAAAGCACUUUAAGUUGGGAGGAAGGGCAGUUGCCUAAUACGUAACUGUUUUGACGUUACCGACAGAAUAAGCACCGGCUAACUCUGUGCCAGCAGCCGCGGUAAUACAGAGGGUGCAAGCGUUAAUCGGAAUUACUGGGCGUAAAGCGCGCGUAGGUGGUUUGUUAAGUUGGAUGUGAAAUCCCCGGGCUCAACCUGGGAACUGCAUUCAAAACUGACUGACUAGAGUAUGGUAGAGGGUGGUGGAAUUUCCUGUGUAGCGGUGAAAUGCGUAGAUAUAGGAAGGAACACCAGUGGCGAAGGCGACCACCUGGACUAAUACUGACACUGAGGUGCGAAAGCGUGGGGAGCAAAC